UUGUAUUUGCGAAUGUGUUCUCACAUCCGUUGUAAACCAUGUACAACCCUGCCCGGCCUUGCCUCCGUAGCCGUGGGGGUGUAGGUGGUCAUAURUAUGUUAUUUUGAGGAUUUGGGAGGCACAUACUAGGUACACCGGGGCGUCUUCUGCGUUGGGGGGGGGGGUGGAAGGUGGGUCAAUAUAAGGUCAGUCAAACAAGAAUACGACUUACGAUCACCAAAAAGGGUGGAGGUGUCCUUGGGGGUCCUUCCCCAGCGGGCUCUUGCAAUUGUGYUUCUGACCUAUCAACUAGACGGCAGCGUAAGGGACAUGCCUACUGGUGACAACGGUA
Molecule: ribosomal RNA, 332 nt
Filed under: uncultured myxomycete
Lineage: Eukaryota; Evosea; Eumycetozoa
Description: partial small subunit ribosomal RNA
Source: RNAcentral